UACGAAGGGUGCAGGCGUUAAUCGGAAUUACUGGGCGUAAAGCGUGCGCAGGCGGCUUCCUAAGUCAGAUGUGAAAUCCCCGGGCUUAACCUGGGAACUGCGUUUGAAACUGGGAGGCUAGAGUGCGGCAGAGGGAGGUGGAAUUCCACGUGUAGCAGUGAAAUGCGUAGAUAUGUGGAGGAACACCGAUGGCGAAGGCAGCCUCCUGGGCCAGCACUGACGCUCAUGCACGAAAGCGUGGGGAGCAAACAGG
This 253-nucleotide ribosomal RNA is filed under the name uncultured bacterium. RNAcentral describes it as "partial 16S ribosomal RNA". It matches the Rfam family "Bacterial small subunit ribosomal RNA", at positions 524 to 776 of the family's 1533-position model. The record is from RNAcentral.